Molecule: non-coding RNA, 21 nt
Filed under: Arabidopsis thaliana (thale cress)
Lineage: Eukaryota; Viridiplantae; Streptophyta; Magnoliopsida; Brassicales; Brassicaceae
Source: RNAcentral
UUCCAUUUUCAGACAUGUGGG